UACGGGGGGGGCAAGCGUUGCUCGGAAUUACUGGGCGUAAAGGGUUCGUAGGUGGCUCGCUAAGUCAGACGUGAAAUCCCUCAGCUUAACUGGGGAACUGCGUCUGAGACUGGCAAGCUUGAGUGCAGGAGAGGAACGCGGAAUUCCAGGUGUAGCGGUAAAAUGCGUAGAUAUCUGGAGGAGCACCGGUGGCGAAGGCGGCGUUCUGGACUGUAACUGACACUGAAGAACGAAAGCCAGGGGAGCAAACGGG
RNAcentral lists this ribosomal RNA (253 nucleotides) under uncultured bacterium. Its description in RNAcentral is "partial 16S ribosomal RNA". It matches the Rfam family "Bacterial small subunit ribosomal RNA", at positions 524 to 776 of the family's 1533-position model. The record is from RNAcentral.